GUCGGGGUGGCGGAACUGGUAGACGCGCUGGAUUCAGGAUCCAGUGGGCUAACGCCCAUAGGGGUUCAAUUCCCCUCCUCGACACCA
This 87-nucleotide transfer RNA is filed under the name Synergistaceae bacterium. RNAcentral's name for it is "tRNA-Leu". It matches the Rfam family "tRNA". From Rfam's summary of the family: Transfer RNA (tRNA) molecules are approximately 80 nucleotides in length. Their secondary structure includes four short double-helical elements and three loops (D, anti-codon, and T loops). RNAcentral also lists the same sequence under 1 other name. Lineage: Bacteria; Thermotogati; Synergistota; Synergistia; Synergistales; Synergistaceae. The record is from RNAcentral.